GUCCCCCUCAAAUGGUUGUGCAGUCGCUGCAGUGAUUGGAAAAUUUUGGUCUGUCUACGUGUGCUUCAUCAAAUGACAUAGGCAGAGGCAAAAACAGAGCGAGUAGAGCAGGGCCGACGUUAGUUUAAACUGCAUGUUUGGGAAAUGUACACCACAUUUUUGCAACUUCAAGACGAAAUAUAAAGAUACAGAGGAGUGCUCGCCCGGAACCAAAAGGAUUGCCACAUCUGCUGAAGAAAAAGGUCUCUAUGGUGCCAUGCUGGAUUUCUAUCUCCAGCGUCUAUGUUCUUUAUCUCUAUGGAUCUGUAUGACCCCCAGCACCAACACUGGUCUCUACAAGCAUCCUCAACAUGCCCCUGCACCAUGGAUCCCUCAGUGAGGGUUUUGGACCGAGGGAGCUUGUGAGAAAGAAGAUUUGAUUUUUUUUUGUGCCAUCCUCCCUCACUCCCUCCUCUCUCCCUGCCCCAUACAUAUUCACCCGUACCUCCACUUCCCCCCAACGGGGGAAAACUACUCUGCACCUCUUCAACCUGUGCUGAACCAGGAAGGGACAGGACUAGGCCCACCCUCAGAGCCUACAGAGGUGACCAACAAGCUCCCACAGAGAGCAGUCCAGGCCAUUCAAGUCUCCACAAGUCACUGUGCCAGGAUGACAGGGUUGACCUCUUACAAUUCCGUGGUGGGAUUCUGCAUCCUACUGGUGAUCAGAGCUGAAGGUAUUCAAACUGGUCAGAAUCCAGACCACAUGCUCCACGGCACGGGGCACAAGCAUGAGUCCAGGAAGCCCGGAGACGGGCCCACGGUGGCCCAGAAGGACGCGCCCGCUUUCUGAGCUGCUACUGUUCGGGCCACUGUCCAGAGGA
Salvelinus sp. IW2-2015 is the source of this 863-nucleotide non-coding RNA. The record is from RefSeq and is a predicted model, not a curated record. NCBI's taxonomy places the organism in Eukaryota, Metazoa, Chordata, Actinopteri, Salmoniformes, Salmonidae.